GAUAUACAUAGGUUAAGCAAAACGUUCGUGUUUAGAGUUGUUACUGUUUUGCAAUAUACGGCGUGUUGUCGAAAAAUUUUACAUGUGGAUUAUAUACAACGUAUCCAGGUUUUCUGUCAAGCCGUAAUGCAGUCACUAACGAACUACGUUUUACUGUAGACUUUAGCAUGGUAUUGUAUUGACAUAUUUUGUUUUGACGGAACCUGCCCGACAUAGCGAGAUCAGUGGAGUGUGUAACAGCUCGCGGGGAACACGUGGUCUGUACAGAGGGUAAUGUCGCAUAGCGUCGGGUCAGCCUGUUUAUCAAGCCCUCAGCUCUAGCGCGCAGACCGAUUCAAGGUGACAAGGAGAGCCAUGGAAAAUCAGUCGUCUCUUCUCCUUUUGGCUUCCAUAUUCUGGAUAACUAUAGCAUCCACCUCAGCCCUGUCAUGCUAUGAAUGUAACAUGUACAUGUGUACUCGACCGAACAUGAAUACUGAGCAAUGCAAAUUAGCGAGGCAGUACAGACAAGAGACGAACUUCACAAAGCGGGACGACAUCUUCAACAAGAUGGUGGGGUUGGCGGGUUGCCACGAGAAACAAGCCCAGAACUGCAAAGCUUGUGUUAAGGUUAAAACCAGUGUCCGGCGACAGCAGCCAAAGGGAGAGUACUUAUACGAUACGGUUGUGUCGAAGGUCUGUGCCAAAGAGGAACCCCAUAGCAAGAAAGACUCGUGUUCCAGAAGUGGUCCACCCCACGCCGUCCAACAUGUGUGUCACUGUUUCGACGAUCUAUGUAACUCUGCCCUGCACAUCUCCACUAGCUCUUUCCUCACACUUUUGAGUACAGUUCUGGCUCUCGGGCAGUACAUGCUUUUUACUCAAUAACAGUCUAUGUUAUGAACAUCACAUAUUUUAGGUUAACGGACAUUUCUAUACAGACAUUCAUUGCUCAUUCGCGAUCUAUCGUGAUAGUAAAUAAUUAAUUAUCUGUACUUUUUAUAUUAUUGUCCUUUUCUCGUAUUUUUUUUUGUUUGUUUUUGUGUUUGCAAAGUGAUGUAGGCCUAAAGGUUAGGUUUCGUCUGAGGAUAAAAACCUACCAGUGAACCCACAAGGCAAAAAGAAGUCAAUUUUUCUACAAUUACGUUUAUAAUUCUUGGCGUUGUUCAUAAGUACAUUAAUGCUUCAACGGUCAUAGAAAUAUUCGGUAUGCAUUUAUAAAUUGGUUGUUUUUAAAACUUCAUUAAUCGUUGAUGAGAUCAGAUAAUACGUUCAUAUAUAACUUUGUGUAUACAUUCUACGGUUACCUAUCCUGCUAAACCUUUUAGAUGUACACAUAUUUUGAAGGAAUGAAGAAACUUUUGUUCAGGAAUCUGAUAAGACUCGGCACUUCCCGAUAGCUCUCCGCCAUUCGGUAAUACAUACAAAAUGCCAUUGCACUUGGAUAGAAUGGGAAUUCUCUUUUGUAAAUGAUAUUACCUUCUGUGCAGUUACAGCACUUGCGCUUUAUGAAAAUGGUCGAAGAAAUGUAUGCCUAUAUGUCAACCAUGCUUGACGUCAUUCCACAAGGUUUUGUAUUUUUCUAUGGUGAUGUCUCUGGCGAGGUCCAAACUGCCUCAAUAUAGUAAUAUCUCACCAAUGCGGUCGCUGUGAGUUCAAGUCCAGCUCAUGCUGGCUUCCUCUCCGGCCGUACGUGGGAAGGUCUGCCAGCUACCUGCGGAUGGUCGUGGGUUUCCCCCGGGCUGUGCCCGGCUUCCUCCCUCCAUAAUGCUGGCCACCGUCGUAUAAGUGAAAUAUUCUUGAGUACGGCGUAAAAACACAAAAUCAAAUCAAGUAAGUAAAUCAAUAUAGUAAUAUGCAAGAAUUUCCU
Long non-coding RNA from Liolophura sinensis, 1849 nucleotides. RefSeq lists it as uncharacterized. The record is from RefSeq and is a predicted model, not a curated record. The transcript has 3 exons. Lineage: Eukaryota; Metazoa; Mollusca; Polyplacophora; Chitonida; Chitonidae.